UUGAACGCUGGCGGCUGCUUAACACAUGCAAGUCGAACGGAGUGGCGAACGGGUGAGUAACGCGUGAGCAACCUGCCUAUGACAGUGGGAUAGCCUCGGGAAACCGGGAUUAAUACCGCAUAGUCAUAGAUGGGCUCGCGUCUGAUUAGCUAGUUGGUGAGAUAACAGCCCACCAAGGCGACGAUCAGUAGCCGGUCUGGGAGGAUGGCCGGCCACAUUGGAACUGAGACACGGUCCAAACUCCUACGGGAGGGAGCAGUGGGGAAUAUUGCAAAAUGGGGGAAACCCUGAUGCCGCGACGCCGCGAGAACGAAGGAGGUAUUCGUAUCGUAAAGUUCUGUCCUAUGGGAAGCGGUACCAUAGAAGAAAGCUCCGGCUAAAUACGUGCCAGCAGCCGCGGUAAUAC
RNAcentral lists this ribosomal RNA (406 nucleotides) under uncultured bacterium. Its description in RNAcentral is "partial 16S ribosomal RNA". It matches the Rfam family "Bacterial small subunit ribosomal RNA", at positions 30 to 526 of the family's 1533-position model. The record is from RNAcentral.